CCUACGGGAGGCUGCAGUGAGGAAUAUUGGUCAAUGGCCGGAAGGCUGAACCAGCCAUGCCGCGUGAAGGUCAGUGCCCUAUGGGCGUUAAACUUCUUUUGUGCGGGAGCAAUAAUGGUCACGUGUGGCCAGACGAGAGUACCGUACGAAUAAGCAUCGGCUAACUCCGGGCCAGCAGCCGCGGUAAUACGGGGGAUGCGAGCGGUAUCCGGAUUUAUGGGGUUUAACGGGUGCGUAGGCGGACGGUUAAGUCAGCGGUAAAAGCCCGGGGCUCAACCCCGGCGAGCCGUUGAAACUGGCUGUCUUGAGAUGUCGAGAGGUAUGCGGAAUGCGCAGGGUAGGGGUGAAAGGAGUAGAGAUUGCGCAGAACUCCGAUUGCGAAGGCGGCAUACCGGCGGCGAUCUGACGCUGAGGCACGAAAGCGUGGGUAUCGAACAGGAUUAGAUACCCUUGUAGUC
This 458-nucleotide ribosomal RNA is filed under the name uncultured bacterium. RNAcentral's name for it is "partial 16S ribosomal RNA". It matches the Rfam family "Bacterial small subunit ribosomal RNA", at positions 338 to 795 of the family's 1533-position model. The record is from RNAcentral.